This 277-nucleotide unclassified non-coding RNA is filed under the name Hevea brasiliensis (rubber tree). Lineage: Eukaryota; Viridiplantae; Streptophyta; Magnoliopsida; Malpighiales; Euphorbiaceae. The record is from RNAcentral.
UUUUACCCUACGAACUUUCCAUUACACGAUAUCUCACCAGAAGAUCACUUUCUUUCUUCUUCUUCUUCUCCUUUUCCUUUCUCUCUCCACCCAUCAAUUCAUGCUCGAAACACAACUCAGAUUCAACCCAACUUUUUAUUUUACCAUUCUGCCACUCCCUCUCUUUAUUGCCUCACCCUGUUUCCUUCCUUCUUCCCCAAUCCAUUACCACAUAUACAUAUAUAUACACACUCAAAGCAUGCUAAUACUAUAACUUAUUCUCCACAACAAGAUUUCC